GACGAACGCUGGCGGCGUGCUUAACACAUGCAAGUCGAACGGAAAGGCCCUGCUUGCAGGGUACUCGAGUGGCGAACGGGUGAGUAACACGUGGGUGAUCUGCCCUGCACUUCGGGAUAAGCUUGGGAAACUGGGUCUAAUACCGGAUAGGAGCCAUCUUUAGUGUGGUGGUUGGAAAGUUUUUUCGGUGUAGGAUGAGCUCGCGGCCUAUCAGCUUGUUGGUGGGGUAAUGGCCUACCAAGGCGGCGACGGGUAGCCGGCCUGGGAGGGUGUACGGCCAAAUUGGGACUGGGGUACGGCCCAGACCCCUACGGGAGGCAGGAGGUGGGAAGAUUGCACAAUGGGCGCAAGCCCGAUGCAGCGACGCCGGGGGGGGGAGGAAGGCCUUCGGGUUGUAAACUCCUUUCCCUAGGGACGAAGCUGUUUGUGACGGUACCUAGAUAAGAAGCACCGGCUAACUACGUG
Molecule: ribosomal RNA, 465 nt
Filed under: uncultured bacterium
Lineage: Bacteria
Description: partial 16S ribosomal RNA
Rfam family: Bacterial small subunit ribosomal RNA
Source: RNAcentral